This 4504-nucleotide long non-coding RNA is filed under the name Hordeum vulgare. RNAcentral describes it as "long non-coding RNA (HVUL_LNC009615)". The record is from RNAcentral. Lineage: Eukaryota; Viridiplantae; Streptophyta; Magnoliopsida; Poales; Poaceae.
AUGAUCUCCAUCAACGUGUCGCCAUCGAGGUUGUCAUGCUAUUUAUGCUAUUACUACUAAAGCUAUGACCUAGCAAUAUAGUAAACGCAUCUGCAAACACAAACGUUAGUUUAAAGACAACCCUAUGGCUCGUGCCGGUUGCCGUAGCAUCGACGUGCAAGUUGAUUUAACUAUUAGAACAUGAUCAUCUCAUACAUCCAAUAUAUCACAUCACGUCAUUAGCCAUAUCAUAUCACAAGCAUACCCUGCAAAAACAAGUUAGACGCCCUCUAAUUUGUUGUUGCAUGUUUUACGUGGCUGCUAUGGGUAUCUAGUAUGAUCGCAUCUUACUUAUCAAAAACCACAACGGAGAUGUGAAAAUUGCUAUUUAACCUCUCCAAGGACCGCCUCGGUCAAAAGCAAUUCAACUAAAGUUGAAGAAACAGGCACCCGCCAGUCAUCUUUAUGCAACGAGGUUGCAUGUCAAUUGAUGAAACCAGCCUCUCGUAAGCGUACGAGUUAUGUCAGUCCGGGCCGCUUCAAUCCAACAAUACCGCCGAAUCGAGAAAAGACUAAGGAGGGCAGCAAAUCGACCAUCACCAUCCACAAAACCUUUUGUGUUCUACUCGAGAUAACAUCUAUACAUGAACCUAGCUCUGAUACCACUGUUGGGGAACGUUGCAUGGGAAACAAAAAAUUUCCUACGCACACGAAUACCUAUCAUGGUGAUGUCCAUCUACGAGUGGAGAUUAGAUCUAUGUACCCUUGUAGACUACUCAGCGGGAAGCGUUAAGAAACGCGGUUGAUGUUGGAACAUCUUCACGUCCCUCGAACCGUCUCACAAACCGUCCCGCGAUCCGUCCCACAUCCGUUCCGAUCUAGCGCCGAACGAACGACACCUCCACGUUCAGCACACGUACAGCUCGACGAUGAUCUCGUCCUUCUUGAUCCAGCAAGCAAAAUCGAGAUCUAGAUGAGUUCUCCAGCAGCGUGACGGAGCUCCGGUGGUGGUGAUGAUCUACUCUUGUAGGGAUCCGCCCGAGCUUCGUAGAAAUCGAUCUAGAGGUAAAACUAUGUGGAAUAGGCUAGAGUUGCACGUGGCAAAGUUGUGUCUCAAAAAGCACUAAGCCACCACUAUAUAUAGGAGGAAGGGGAGGGGCUAGCCUUGAGGCACAAGGCUUCAAGGUGCGCCGGCCGCCAGGAGGAGGAGGACUCCUCCUCCAAUUCGGUUUGGGAAGGAGGAGUCCUCCUCUUCCUUCCCACCUCCCUCUUUCCUUUUUUCUUCUUCUUUUCUUUUGGUAUUUUCUUAUGUGGCACCAUAGCCCUCUUGGGCUGACUCCACCAGACCAAUAAGGACUUGGUGCACCACCCUAGGGCCUUGGUCUCACUCCCGGGUGGGUGGGCCCUUUCCGGUAAACACCCGGAACCCAUUCGUCACUCUCGGUACAUUACAGGAAUUGCCCAAUACUUUCCGGUGACCAAAUGAAACCAUCCUAUAUAUGAAUCUUCGUUUACGGGCCAUUCCGGUAACUCUCGUGACGUCCGUGAUCUCAUUCGGGACUCCUAACAACAUUCGGUAACCACACAUAUAACUCAACUAUACUAAAACAUCACCGAACCUUAAGUGUGCACACCCUGCGGGUUCGAGAACUAUGUAGACAUGACCCGAGGCACUCCUCGGUCAAUAUCCAAUAGAGGGACUUGGAUGCCCAUAUUGGAUCCUACAUAUUCUCCGAAGAUCUUAUCGGUUGAACCUCAGUGUCAAGGAUUCAUAUAAUCCUGUAUGUCAUUCCCUUUGUCCUUCGGUAUGUUACUUGCCCGAGAUUUGAUCGUCGGUAUCCGCAUACCUAUUUCAAUCUCGUUACCGGCAAGUCUAUUUACUCAUUCCGUAAUACAAGAUCCCGUGACUUACACUUAGUCACAUUGCUUGCAAGGCUUGUGUGUGAUGUUAUAUUACCGAGUGGGCCCCGAGAUACCUCUCCGUCACACGGAGUGACAAAUCCCAGUCUUGAUCCAUACUAACUCAAUGGACACCUUCGGAGAUACCUGUAGAGCACCUUUAUAGUCACCCAGUUACGUUGCGACGUUUGAUGCACACAAGGUAUUCCUUCGAUGCCAGUGAGUUAUAUAAUCUCAUGUUCAUAGGAAUAAAUACUUGACACGUAGAAAACAAUAGCAAUAAAAUGACACGAUCAAUAUGCUAUGUUGAUAGUUUGGGUCUAGUCCAUCACAUGAUUCUCCUGAUGAUGUGAUCCAGUUAUCAAGCAACAACACUUGCACAUAGUCAGAAAACCUUGACUAUCCUUGAUCAACUGGCUAGCUAACUAGAGGCUUGCUAGGGACAUCGUUUUGUCUAUGUACCCACACAUGUAUCUAUGAUUUCAUUCAAUACAAUUAUAGCAUGGAUAAUAAACGAUUAUCUUUGUAAUAGGAAAUAUAAUAAUAACUAUUUAUCAUUGCCUCUACGGCAUAUUUCCAACAGCGGCAACUUUGGCUGCGGGAGGAACCGGGGCGGUGGAGUGUUCGCGGGUGGCGGCGCUGUUGGCCGACAGCGGGCGCGCAACGGGGUGACCGGAGGGCGUAGUGCGGGGCGCCGGCGGGUCUCGGCCGGAGGGCGGCAACGCGACGCAGGUUUGACCAGAGCGGGGCUGGCGAAGGGGCUCUGGAUCGGGGCUCCUCCUCGAUGUGGAGCUCAGGCCCGAGGGGCGCGGAUGCGGCGGCGGCUUCGGGCCCGGGCGGGCUAGAGCGGUCCUGCGGCGCUGGUGGGAGGAGGAGAGGCUGCGCUAGGGUUUGAGGGGGCGCACGGAUCUUGAGGCAGGCCUGGGGCUGCCCGAUGUGGACGUGGGAAUGCCCAUUUAUAGAAGUUUUGUCUAGGGUUUGGGGUUUUCAUGGCCGAUUUUGACCGCGCGAUCGUGAUCAGACGUCCCCCGCCGCAGGGUGGGCUGGUUGGGCCGUGUAGAGUGGGUGUUGGGCUAAGACGAGAGGGAAAUGGUGCGACCCGGCGAUAGUGAUUUAAAACACCGAAAACGUCCGACGAUAACCCGCCGACGGUGCCGCUAUGGUCUACCGUUCGGCUAUCAAAGGGACUCCUAUUGCGGCGAAAAUUGGCACGCGACCUACCUACAUAAAAAUAAGACCGCACACCAAGUUUCAACCCAAUCCAAGAAUAUUUUAUACACACUUUUAAAAACAAAUAUUAGCGAUGCCGCGGGCGCAUGCGUGUGUGGUUGGUCUCAAAAUGGGCAACGACGAACACGGAGAGAACCGACAACUAAUAAUGGAUGCAGGUUUUGAAAACUGGCGGCAAUGGAGUGCCGAUGCAAUGCAGAUGAUGCGCAUGAUGCGAUGAUGAAUGCGACAGACAAACGAACCACACGACGGGAACGAAAUAAAAGGGGAACUUCUGGAGCGUCGGUCUCGGGAUGUCACACAUAUCACCGCAUGAAAUAUCCUCAAUUAUUUUAACAUAACAAUAACGUUUCCUUCAUCACAACAAACCAUACACAAAGGUAAUAUUCCAUGUUCAGAAUGCUUGCCUUGUUUGUGUAGAAAGGUAGGGUGCACUUCAAAACUUUUGAAAGUUUUCAAUCUUCCUCUUCAAAUUCCUAUUUUGAAAAUACUCAAAUCAACAUACCAUUCAAACAAAAGUAAAAAGUUAUUCGGAAAUUUUUCAAUUAAAUACUAAAAUAAACUAGAGAAAAAUUGAAAGAGGUGAGUAAAAGAAUCAACUCAUUUGGAGUUUUAUUUUAAAAGAUAUGACCAGUAAAAGAUUGGUCAAACUUCUGUUUUUAAAAUAAAUCAGAAAAGAAAGCGAUUCGGCUCACAUUAUGCUUUUACAGAAGGGAAUACAUACUUUGCACAAAUACACCUUCACUUAACGUGGCUCAAGCUCGGCUCUGUCGCUGACGAGUGGGGCCCUUCAUACAGGUUUGACUUUGGUCAAACCGGUCAUCUACCUCCUCCAAACAAGGGGAGGAGAGGCCUCCGGUGGCUCUUGACGGUGAUUGGGGGCACUACACCAAAAUCCGAGAGUAUCAACAUGCUCGGGGUCCCAAGGCAAUCCCAAAGGUGCGGGAUUUGGUCGGCGGAGAGCCUGGGAGCUCCAGCGGCUUCGAGGCGUGCGGACGGCGGCGCGGGUCCGCAAGGGAACUUUGCCCACGGCUCAUCUUGAGUGAAAUCGAGAGGGGGGAUGGGCUCGCGGUGCCAGUGUUAUUCCACCAAGGGGGAGAGCGAUGCAGGAUAAACUUCAUUGGCCUCGAAUUUAACUACAGGGGCGGCGGCCGAACCUCGGCCGGAGGUGAGGAAGACGACCUCCCCCGGUCGAUUGGUUGCAAUGGGAGCUUGAGAGGGGCCGGAGAGGUUCCUCUGAGGGUCUGGGAAAACCCGGGGGUCCCUUAUAUACGCAAUCAAGGUCGUUUCCGAGCGGCAACGGAUAACUCUGACGAACUAUUGCUAACAAGAGAUGUGGCGGCGACUAACGGGGACAGGCGCUAGCAGACGAGCUAGCGGAUGAGCUCGAGCUAUU